GUAAUUUAAUAAAUAAACUUAAAACAAAAGAAAAUAAAAAGCAUGUGUCUUCUUCAUUUCUAUCUUCAUCACCGAACAGGAAAUGGAAAACUUCAUUGUUGGCUUCAUAAGCUUCAGCCAAGCCUGAUUCUUCAUGCAUGGUUAGUGUUUUUUAUACCAUUUUUAAUAAAUUUUAUGUUUUUUAGCUCAUAUUAGCUUAAUCUAGUUAGCCCAGGGGUUAAAUUGUAAAAUUGAUAGAUGUUUAGGGAUUUUCCAUGAACGAGUUGCAUGUGUCUAUGAAUUUAAUUGAUAAAUUACUAAGCUUGGUUGUUAAAUAGAAGUAUUUUAUUAAGUGUUUUUUAGUAAUUUUAAUGUUAAAAGGAUUAAUUUGUUAAAAGAGUAAAAUUCAUGGGAUUUAAUGUGAAAUUUUUUACGAGUAUAGGUUGUUUAUGAAUUCUAUAAAAAUCGGCUAACAUGAAUUUUGGCUGAAAAUGGUAAAUUUACAAGUUUCAGGAUUAGGGACUAAAUUGCAAAAAAGGUAAACUUUGAGGGUAAUUUUGUAAAUUUUCAUUUAUAGGGGUUAUAAGCAAAAUUAAUUAUUUUAAAUUCUGGAACGAGAAUAAUUGAAUAAAAAUAUUUAUCUAGAUCAAGAACAACUCGAACAGACACAAAUCGUGGAAAAGUCAAAGUAGCGGAAUAGUGGUUGGUUCGUGUUAAGAAGUCAUUUAUGAGUUCAAGUAAGUUAGUAACUUAGUUAAUUCAAUUAGUUACUGUUUCGAUAAUUUUAAUAUCUAUUUGUGUAUAUAUGUGAAUCAAAUUUGUUGGUUUGAAGGAAUUGAUUAACACCAUAGUUGAAACACACUAUGGCAUUAUACCGGAAUUAAAUAAUACCAUAGUUGAAAGAAACUAUGGCAUCAUACCGAAAACGAGUAAGACCAUGGCUGAAAGAUGUUAUGGCAUCCCGAUUUUAACGAGUAAAACCAUAGUUGAAAGACGUUAUGGCAUCACAAUUCUAACAAGUAAGACCAUAGCUAAAAGACACAAUGGCAUCAUGAACCAGACGGAUAAGACCACGGUUGAAAGACAUUAUGACAACACGACAUAAAAUGAAUAAGACCAUGGUUGAAAGACACCAUGGCAUUCUUCAACCAUUCACUAUUCAGGUAACAUGUUUCGGUUGAGAUAUCUAUUAUUAGUAUGAAUAUGAGAUGAAUGUUUUGACUAGUAUAGUUUAUUAAUGAAUAUUUACACUUUGGUGUGACUAUGUGUUUCAUAUGUUUAUAAAUAUGUUAAUUAGUGAUGUUUGUGGUGUGUUUAGGGAAUUAAAUGGUUACAUGAGUGUUUUCUGAGUAGUCGGUGUUAUUCCAUUUGGUUUAACGAGUAAAUAAAGCUUAAAUGAGUAUAUGAAUAUAUGAAACGAAUCAUGAUUUUGGAUAAUAAAAUGGAUUAUAAUGAUAUGUGUAAUUGCAAGGAAAAUAUGGUUUAUUGUACAUGUAUAAGUGAUGAUUUAUGAAAAGGAGAUGUCGACAUGUUAUAUAACAUGUUUUGUUGGAAUUAUAUGUACAUUGCUCCAGCAACUAAUCAUGUGAGGUGUUGUGUAUAGGAAAGGAAAUUGGGAUUGUGACUAAACUAAAUUAUGCUUGAUUGUCUAAUUUAAUGUAUUCGGUAAGUUUAAGUUUCCUUUAUAUAAGCUUACUAAGCACUAGUUACUUACGUAGUUGUUUUUCUAUAUUUUAUAGAUAAUCGAAAAGCUCGAACGAUUGGAAUCAGCGUUGGAGCACAAUCACACUAUCCAUUGAUCCACUUUGGUAGCUUUUGGAUAUAUUGGCUAAUGGCUAUAAAUAGCAUGUGUAGGGUUGUAUGUUAAUUUGAUAUGUUUUGAAUUGUGCUAAGCUUUGAUAUGCCUCAAUAUCUUUUGUUAAUGGUUGUGCAUGGUCAUUUGAAAUUAGGGGAAAAAAUGGUUAAUUGAUAUAAAUGCUUUGGUAAGUAUAGGGCUUGUUUGUUACCUUGGUCAAUUGGUAAUGUUUUGAGUUGUGUCAAACUUAGGCAUGCUUAAUGCCUUUUGUUUUUAACUUGUAAAUGUCUAUAGCAUAAGUGUAUUAGGGUUUGAUGUUAAUGUGUUAUUUGGAAUGUAUUGAUUUUGCUUAUACCCAUUUAUAGAUAUAAAUGGUUUGGUUUGGUUUAUUUAUCCUUAAACACUUUGGAGCAUGUUCCUUUUUAGUUAUAUCUAAGUAAAUUGGUAAGUUGAUGGUGUAGCCUAAAGAGAAGUGGUCAUUUUGUGUCUAUAUUAUAAAGUUGAAAUGUGAUAUUGAAUCUUUGUUCAUGUGUGAUAUUGUUGACUGAAAUGUGAUACCUUUGACUAGCAUAUUGGCUAGGACAUAUAGGAUGGUUGAUUAAUUGACAUGUUUUAUAUGUGUUUAAGUUGUAAUUAGGUCAUAUGAAUG
Molecule: long non-coding RNA, 2423 nt
Filed under: Gossypium barbadense (sea-island cotton)
Lineage: Eukaryota; Viridiplantae; Streptophyta; Magnoliopsida; Malvales; Malvaceae
Description: long non-coding RNA (GBAR_LNC017491)
Source: RNAcentral